Molecule: long non-coding RNA, 1185 nt
Filed under: Homo sapiens (human)
Lineage: Eukaryota; Metazoa; Chordata; Mammalia; Primates; Hominidae
Description: HSALNT0116983
Source: RNAcentral
GGCAGAGACCAAGACUGUCCUCAAGUUGUGUAACGGACAGAGCUGGCAUACGAUGGAAGCUGUAAAGACUGAGUUUAGUUUAAUAUACCCAGUCACUUCCAGGGCACAGUUGACGGAGGCGAUGUUGAAUGCACAGCCCGAGUGUGUGGUCGGCCGGCUCCCGCUGCAGCAGGCGACCCUCCGUAUGGACAUCCUGCCUGCGAGGCCAGCAGCUGUCACGAGAACAGAGCGACGAUUGACGAUGCCGAGCUGAACGACAAUGGAGCAAAGCAGCAUUUACUUCAGCACAGGCAGGUCCUGCUCUGUGUUCACCAAUGGUGGCUGCGCAGUCCCACCCUGGGAACCUCAGUAAACGUCACCCACUGAAGACUCAAUGCUCAGGAGGUGGCCAGCCUGCACACAAGACCUCCAGGACCUCCUGCACUGAAUUAAAACUCAGGAUGGGAAAGGCUCCCCAGCCCUGGAGCCCUGACAGGGGUAAGCCCCCGAGACCCCAGUUCUGCCCAGAACUAGCCCUGAACUUGGAUGUGUGCAGGCACUCAAGGCAGGGGUGGACCAGCACAUGCCUGCAGGGGCUUUAGUUUAAAUGUAUAUGAUGCAUAUAUACGAUGAACACACAUGUAUACACACGUGGUGUAUACACAUGCGGCAUCUGCACACGACGUAAAUGCACCUGGCGAGUACACACGUGGCAUAUACAUACAUGCCCUGCAUAUACAACAUGGCACAUACACGCAUGAUAUACACACACAUGAUGAGUUAAAACCAGGCAGGAAAUUGCCUGAGGUGGCCCAGCUGGAGGAGGCCUUUGAAGCCAAGCACAGGACCCUCCAUUAAAGAAGAAUGACACCAAUGGUCACAGCAGUGCUGGUGCACACAGGAGGAGAGCGGGCUCCAUCCCUCACGUCCCCUUGGGUCACAGAAAUGCUGGUGAACAGUGGUGGAGAGGGGGCUCCACCCCUCAUGUCCCCUUUGCUGCUGUUUGCCUUAAUUAUGUGUUUGCAUCCACAAAACUACUUUUGGAUUCUGUGACUCAAAGAAAUGCAAAAUUAAAAAAUAAAUCUGCAAAAGUCCACCUGGUUUUCAAUCAAACCUGUCUUUCCUUCCACCCUCACCCCUCCUAAAAGAGAAAGGAAAGCUGUUGGGUGAAGUGUGGCUCCCAGUCAGGGACAGGGAUCAGCCCAG